UACAGAGGGUGCGAGCGUUGUCCGGAAUCACUGGGCGUAAAGGGCGCGUAGGCGGCUUGAUAAGCGUGCGGUGAAAGCCCGGGGCUCAACCCCGGGUCGGCCGUGCGAACUGUCGAGCUGGAGCACUGUAGAGGCAGGUGGAAUUCCGGGUGUAGCGGUGGAAUGCGUAGAGAUCCGGAAGAACACCGGUGGCGAAGGCGGCCUGCUGGGCAGUGGCUGACGCUGAGGCGCGAAAGCAUGGGGAGCGAACAGG
RNAcentral lists this ribosomal RNA (253 nucleotides) under uncultured bacterium. RNAcentral's name for it is "partial 16S ribosomal RNA". It matches the Rfam family "Bacterial small subunit ribosomal RNA", at positions 524 to 776 of the family's 1533-position model. The record is from RNAcentral.